ACGCCGCUUCUUCUUUAUCUUCUCCCUAGCCGCCUUCAUCUUGUUCGUGGCUCCAGUGCCCACACGGUCACGGAGCACCAGUUCUGGUGCUGCGGAAGCAGCCAUCCGCGCCCAGGCUCGCCCUCGCUCCAUCUCUUCCCUGACGCGCGUCCUCCCUGCGUCGCGCCUCGUGCUCCGUGCGCGUGCUCAUCUCCCUCCACGCCGCGCGCCCCUGGAGUCUCCUCGCCGUGCGUCGCUGCUCCAUGGCUGGCUCCCUGAGCUCGGCCCCUGGCUUCUAUGCUACGCGCGCGCGGUUUCCUCUCUCCUCCCUUCAUUUCUCUUCAGCCGUCGCGCCCUAGUUCUCUGCUCGGCCAUGGAGGUCGCGGUUCCCUGAUCUCCUGCUCGCCUGGCCACGCCGAGCUCCAUCCAGGGCCGGAGUCUCUUUGCUCGGAUUUCGUCGGGCCCGCGAGCUCCCCUACGCGCUCGUACUCCAGCUCGGUUUUCCUUCACCGCGGCUCUCCCUGACCCAGCUUCUCUCUCCCCAUGGCCACGGCACCCCUGCUCCCUGGUACAGCGCGCAGCUUGCCUGCUCGGCUGUAGCCACCGCGCGUUCCCCUGCCCUCGGCUUCCUGCAUCGCGUGGUCGCACCCCUCCCUUGCUUCUCCAGCUCGACCGUUCCUCCUCUCUUUUCCUGCUAAUCGCGCGCCAUGGUGUUCUCUGUGCGCGCCCCAAGCUCCCAGCUUCCCCGACGUUUCCCCCUGUGUCGCGCCUGCUGCCGGCGUUUUUCCCUGACGCGCGCUCCGCCUUGCCAUCUCCCUGCACGCCGUGGUAUCCCGGCUCUUCCUAGCUCGGACCGCGCUCAGUCCCCAGCUCGCCGCGUCCGGUCGAGCUCUCUGCGCACACGUCGCGCGCAGCCGUGUCCCUAUGCUCGCCGUGGCCGGUCCCCUGCGUCGCGCCCGGGAUUUUGUCGCGCAUCCCUGCGCCCCACUGUUCCGUGACACUCGUGCUGGCUCACUUCAUCACCGAUUUCUAAAGAACCAGCUUCGUCUGUUUGUCGGUCUCAUUCUAAUUUGAUUUGGAAUUAUUGCGCCUCAGCCUUGAUCUGUCAAGGCUGUCACGGCCGCCGCCAAAUCGUUAGAGUCGUUCAACUCGCCGAUCACAUCUUGGUCGGUCGUCGAUUUCUUAUUCGCCAUGGUACAACACCGCUGUUAGAUCCUGUCUCCAACCUGUCAUGGCGCUUGCCGGACUUCGCCGGUGAAGUUCGUCGUGGUCAUCUGGUCCCAGCCCGACCCAUCCGUACGCUCGCUCCUCAUCCAUCGGGUUUCGGCGUGUUCGCGUUUACCGUCGAGUCAUCGAACCCAUCAUCCCCUGCUCGACCCCCACCUUACCAGCUCGCUCCAGACUUCAAUCGAAGGUCGUCGUCGUUCCGCGCGUCAUCAAGAAAUCCCAAACGUCGGGUGAAGACGAAGCCAGCAGCGUGGUGUUCACCAAGUGCGCGACAAAAAGCUCGAACAAGUCGUCGAUUUCGUGGUUUCAAAUCGGAUGUCAUAAGGGUACCUUAAUUAAUCAUGUGAUGCGGAAGACGACCCAAGUCGAUCCCAAGCGUGGGCUAAUCCGCAUGGUGAUGUUGAUGGAUGAACCUGAAGAUAGGAUGAUCUAAUCAAGUGCUAGGACAAGGAUGAUCGCCAAGUGGACGUCACCUAACAACACUGACCUAGUGUUAUUCAGGCAAGCCCCGGUGCAUUUGUCACCUCCUUGUGUUUUAAAAUCUUUAUCACCUUGUUUGAUGCAUUAGGUGAUAGGAGUUGUAUGCUAAACGAUUGAUGCAUUUUCUUCCUUGAAAAAUUGAUUACCCUUCCUUGAUA
Molecule: long non-coding RNA, 1844 nt
Organism: Zea mays
Lineage: Eukaryota; Viridiplantae; Streptophyta; Magnoliopsida; Poales; Poaceae
Exons: 2
Source: RefSeq, a predicted model, not a curated record